AUGACAACAGAACCCACAACAACCAUGACUUUUAUCACCAUCUUCAUCUGGACACUUUCCCUCUGCUUUCAAGAAUCCAGUGGACAGUACACUGUGACUCAGACUCCUGCUGUGAAAGCUGUUCUCCCAGGACAGUCAGUCUCUCUGAACUGUAAAACCAGCAGUAAUGUGCAUGGCGCAGGAGGCACUUAUCCCCGCCUAGCCUGGUAUCAACAGAAACCUGGAGGAGCUCCUAAACUCCUUAUUUACUAUGCUAAAACACUUCAGUCUGGGACUCCAUCUAGAUUCAGUGGCAGUGGAACUCAUAGUGACUUCACUCUGACCAUCAGUGGAGUCCAGGCUGAAGAUGCAGGAGAUUACUACUGUCAGAGUUUACACUACCCCAAUAGUAAACAUGUGUUCACACAGUGAUACAGAGCCGUACAAAAACCUCCCUCCCUCAGUCAGACUGUACAGUGACUGUACUGAUACAGCUGUGUCCUACUGCAGGUCCUGAGGAGGAAGAGACAGAGACAUGGAACACUGACUGAACUAAAAUACACUGAGAUAAAUAUAUCAGUGAUGCUGACAAUAUGUCAACUCUUCCUCCCUCAUGCUAAAGCAUUCCUGAACUGAUAACACUCACAGGUCCAGACAACAUAAAUAUUACUUCCCUGCUUCUAUGGCCAACAAACUUUUUUGUAACGUCACACAAUAAAUUGAACGGACUCCAUC
This is a non-coding RNA of Oncorhynchus masou masou (cherry salmon), 714 nucleotides long. The record is from the annotation of a RefSeq genome assembly. NCBI's taxonomy places the organism in Eukaryota, Metazoa, Chordata, Actinopteri, Salmoniformes, Salmonidae.